Long non-coding RNA from Gallus gallus (chicken), 472 nucleotides. The record is from Ensembl. Lineage: Eukaryota; Metazoa; Chordata; Aves; Galliformes; Phasianidae.
GGGGGAAGCGCUGCCGCCGCCGGUGCGAGGAGCGAAGUAGAGGCAGGAACUUCUCCUCCGGGAGCUGGGCGCGCCGCGGGGACAAAGUCCUCGGGGGCUGCGGCGCUCCGCACCCGCGGGCAGAUUGCCAACGCUAAGAAAACAGAGACUUCCAGCAAAAAAUUCUUCAGUUCAUGGAGCAACAAGGGCAGUGUUAGGAAUACAUCCCACCCUUGUGCUUCUGCUCCAGGAUGCAGUGAGAAGAAAGGCAUGCAGAGAGCAAAUAAUUAUGCAAGGCAGGGAGAGCCCAUGCGUCUGAAUGUGUGUCCGGCAGCAGAGCCAGAGAGUCCAUGGAGCAGCGAGGCUGAAACCAGCACCCUGAGGGAGGGCUUUUGGCAUGCUAAAAAUCAAGAUCCACUUUUAAUUGCUGGAAGGACCCCAUCUCAAGUUCAGUUCUGACUCCUAGACCCGCUGUCCUCUUCAGGAAGUCCCA